Molecule: ribosomal RNA, 253 nt
Filed under: uncultured bacterium
Lineage: Bacteria
Description: partial 16S ribosomal RNA
Rfam family: Bacterial small subunit ribosomal RNA
Source: RNAcentral
UACGAAGGGGGCUAGCGUUGCUCGGAAUUACUGGGCGUAAAGCGCACGUAGGCGGACUCUUAAGUCGGUGGUGAAAUCCUGGAGCUCAACUCCAGAACUGCCUUCGAUACUGAGAGUCUCGAGUCCGAGAGAGGUGAGUGGAACUGCGAGUGUAGAGGUGAAAUUCGUAGAUAUUCGCAAGAACACCAGUGGCGAAGGCGGCUCACUGGCUCGGUACUGACGCUGAGGUGCGAAAGCGUGGGGAGCAAACAGG